GAACGCCGUACGUUUUCUUAGGUUAUUAUUCUGUUUCUUUCCAGGCUACCCUUUAACGGAGAUUCCAGUAGAAAACAGAAACGAAUUACCUUUCUGGGCGAUCAUUAUCAUAUGCUUCUGUGUCCUGUUGGGUUUCAUCCUUUUGUUCCUGAUUUCCUUCCUGGUUUCCUUCUGCCUGAGGCAAAGAACAAGCAAGUAUCAGGUUCAACAGGACAUUUUGGGUGUCUACUUCCCCCACCUAGACAUGCGGAAAUCCCGGUGAUGGAAUUCACGGACAUUGGCCCACCCCAUAAUGGGAAAAAAAAAUCUUAUUUUAUUUUUGCACAAACUUUCCUUAGCCUUCCAUCCCUGUGCAAAUGUGUGCAGGAAAUCAAUGUUUACUGUAACUGGAAUGAGCACAGAAAAAUUACAAGCUACCAACCUUUAACUUGGCUUGAACUAAAAGAAAACAUGAUAAUAGUGAACUGCAGAUUCUUCAACGGUACUCCAGCAAUUCCAACCAUACUGCCGCAUUUGGAAGAUGAAGAUGCAACCUUAUUUAUUUAUUAAUGCACUGUUUAAUUAAGGAUGUCUUUUUAUACACACAAACACACAUACAGAGGCCACAAAUGGAAUUAUUUAAUUACUGGAAAGGAAUCAGUUUCGGCCCAAGACACAGUUCGGUGUUACAAUCACUUCCACAUUUUCCUUUGCAGCAAUGGAAAGUCCAACAAAGAAAUUUGAACUCUAUUGCACUUUAAUAUUCUUGUUUCCUUGCGGCAAUAUCUAUCCUUCCUGAUCAAUCACGGAUCCCUGCAUUUUUUUUUUAAUGAUAGUGGAAAUUAUUGCGUAUUUAAAAUGGGAGAUAAUUUCCCAAAAGAGCACUCGCUAAAUAACGGGAAACCCCAUGGUAGAUAAUCACAGGUCUCCGUAAUUGAUCCAGUGAUCCUCCUUUUAUUUUUUUACGUAUUUAAAAUAUUCCAGAUUUCUUAUGAAUGCAUCAAUAAAUAGCAAGCUGAAGCACA
Molecule: long non-coding RNA, 1004 nt
Filed under: Salvator merianae (Argentine black and white tegu)
Lineage: Eukaryota; Metazoa; Chordata; Lepidosauria; Squamata; Teiidae
Description: lncRNA (ENSSMRG00000000775.1)
Source: RNAcentral